CACGUAGGGGGCAAGCGUUGUCCGGAUUUAUUGGGCGUAAAGAGCGUGUAGGCGGCCAGGUAGGUCCGUUGUGAAAACUCGAGGCUCAACCUCGAGACGUCGGCGGAAACCCUCUGGCUAGAGUCCGGAAGAGGAGAGUGGAAUUCCUGGUGUAGCGGUGAAAUGCGCAGAUAUCAGGAAGAACACCCGUGGCGAAGGCGGCUCUCUGGGACGGUACUGACGCUGAGACGCGAAAGCGUGGGGAGCAAACAGG
RNAcentral lists this ribosomal RNA (253 nucleotides) under uncultured bacterium. RNAcentral's name for it is "partial 16S ribosomal RNA". It matches the Rfam family "Bacterial small subunit ribosomal RNA", at positions 524 to 776 of the family's 1533-position model. The record is from RNAcentral.